Sardina pilchardus (European sardine) is the source of this 317-nucleotide long non-coding RNA. RefSeq lists it as uncharacterized. The record is from RefSeq and is a predicted model, not a curated record. Lineage: Eukaryota; Metazoa; Chordata; Actinopteri; Clupeiformes; Clupeidae. The transcript is spliced from 3 exons.
CAGUUGGCUACAACGAACGGAGAACUUUUCCUAGAAAGUAACAAAAUGACUAAAACGUGUACAGCACUCGGUUGCAGUAAUCGAAGAACAGUAGAAAACCGGUCAAAGGGCAUCACUUUCCACAGCGAUGGAGCAGCGUUUAGCAGAGGAGCUUCUGAAGUCUGAGAAAAACACAUGUAGGCCUACAGGAUGAAAUUAUCUUUGUGAAGAGGAGGAACGCUUUUCAGAGGAAGCUUCUUUCACGACGUUGUUCGAGCUGGCAUGAUGGUAUGUGAGUACGAGUGAGGCCAUCGUUUAAGGAAGGCAGGUUACAUUUC